AUUGAACGCUGGCGGCAGGCCUAACACAUGCAAGUCGAGCGGAUGAAGGGAGCUUGCUCCUGGAUUCAGCGGCGGACGGGUGAGUAAUGCCUAGGAAUCUGCCUGGUAGUGGGGGAUAACGUCCGGAAACGGGCGCUAAUACCGCAUACGUCCUGAGGGAGAAAGUGGGGGAUCUUCGGACCUCACGCUAUCAGAUGAGCCUAGGUCGGAUUAGCUAGUUGGUGGGGUAAAGGCCUACCAAGGCGACGAUCCGUAACUGGUCUGAGAGGAUGAUCAGUCACACUGGAACUGAGACACGGUCCAGACUCCUACGGGAGGCAGCAGUGGGGAAUAUUGGACAAUGGGCGAAAGCCUGAUCCAGCCAUGCCGCGUGUGUGAAGAAGGUCUUCGGAUUGUAAAGCACUUUAAGUUGGGAGAAAGGGCAGUAAGUUAAUACCUUGCUGUUUUGACGUUACCAACAGAAUAAGCACCGGCUAACUUCGCG
RNAcentral lists this ribosomal RNA (484 nucleotides) under uncultured bacterium. Its description in RNAcentral is "partial 16S ribosomal RNA". It matches the Rfam family "Bacterial small subunit ribosomal RNA", at positions 30 to 507 of the family's 1533-position model. The record is from RNAcentral.